UAGUCCACGCUGUAAACGAUGUCUACUAGCUGUUGGGUUCCUUGAGGACUUAGUGGCGCAGCUAACGCGAUAAGUAGACCGCCUGGGGAGUACGGCCGCAAGGUUAAAACUCAAAUGAAUUGACGGGGGCCCGCACAAGCGGUGGAGCAUGUGGUUUAAUUCGACGCAACGCGAAGAACCUUACCAGGUCUUGACAUCCUACUAAGUUUUCAGAGAUGAGAAUGUGCCUUCGGGAAAGUAGUGACAGGUGCUGCAUGGCUGUCGUCAGCUCGUGUCGUGAGAUGUUGGGUUAAGUCCCGCAACGAGCGCAACCCUUACCUUUAGUUGCCAGCAUUCAGUUGGGCACUCUAGAGGGACUGCCGACGUUAAGUCGGAGGAAGGUGGGGAUGACGUCAAGUCCUCAUGGCCUUUAUGUCCAGGGCUACACACGUGCUACAAUGGCAGAUACAAAGGGCUGCAAGACCGCGAGGUUUAGCCAAUCCCAUAAAGUCUGUCUAAGUUCGGAUCGG
This 509-nucleotide ribosomal RNA is filed under the name uncultured bacterium. RNAcentral's name for it is "bacterial SSU rRNA". It matches the Rfam family "Bacterial small subunit ribosomal RNA", at positions 791 to 1301 of the family's 1533-position model. The record is from RNAcentral.